GACGAACGCUGGCGGCGUGCUUAACACAUGCAAGUCGAGCGGUAAGGCCCUUUCGGGGGUACACGAGCGGCGAACGGGUGAGUAACACGUGGGUGACCUGCCCUCAGCUCUGGGAUAAGCCUGGGAAACCGGGUCUAAUACUGGAUAUGACUCCAUGACGCAUGUUGUGGGGUGGAAAGCCUUGUGCGGCUGAGGAUGGGCCCGCGGCCUAUCAGCUUGUUGGUGGG
RNAcentral lists this ribosomal RNA (227 nucleotides) under uncultured bacterium. RNAcentral describes it as "partial 16S ribosomal RNA". It matches the Rfam family "Bacterial small subunit ribosomal RNA", at positions 28 to 256 of the family's 1533-position model. The record is from RNAcentral.